GUUUCUGUAGUGUAGUGUAGUGGUUAUCACGUUCGCCUCACACGCGAAAGGUCCCCAGUUCGAAACUGGGCAGAAACA
This is a non-coding RNA of Xiphias gladius (swordfish), 78 nucleotides long. Lineage: Eukaryota; Metazoa; Chordata; Actinopteri; Istiophoriformes; Xiphiidae. The record is from the annotation of a RefSeq genome assembly.